Long non-coding RNA from Canis lupus familiaris (dog), 4125 nucleotides. RefSeq lists it as uncharacterized. The transcript is spliced from 4 exons. Lineage: Eukaryota; Metazoa; Chordata; Mammalia; Carnivora; Canidae. The record is from RefSeq and is a predicted model, not a curated record.
GGCCGGGAGUCCCUAGGAGAUUAGAGCCUGUCAUUCCCCCUGUGAUCCCACCCUGCAAAGCUUCUAGUGCCUCCGAAGCCCUCAGCAGAUGGAGGAAGAGCGAGCACCCCACAGGCUGACAGUAUCAAACUGGGAUUCCAUGGGGGGUGCUCGCAGCUUUGGGUCUGCCCUGUGAGCCCAGUCCUGGCCCAGCCUCUCCGCACCCUGUGUGAGUCCUUCAAACUGAACCGAGAAUGAGGAAUGAGGCCCUGUCCCCUCUGUUCCUUUCUGGGAGACCUCGGCCUGUGUGUUCCAGUCCACAUGUGCCAGGUGGGGGCAGGGUCCCAGGCAGCCUGGGGCUCACUGGACCUCAGAGCCCGGGUAGCUGUCACCGCCACCCAGAAACGUCAUUGUCAUAAAUGCUAUUGGGUUCCUCCCACAAGUCCUGCGUGGGCACGGCAGGGCAAGCCUCCGACUUAGCCUGUGAAGGCAGGAGAGUGCCAGCCGGUCCGUUCCUCACGCUUUGCCCUCUUGUGGGCAAAGAUCCCAGUGAUGGUUGUUCACUCAGCCCGGCCUGAGAAGCCCUGUAGGCCGAGCGCGUGAACCUGCUGAAUGUCUGCUCUGCAGCCAUCGGUGCCCGAGACCGGACCACUGUGCAUCCUUGUCUCCCACUCCGGACCCCAGCUUCCCGUUCUCGCCCUCCUCUCUGUCCUUGCUCAAGACUCCAGACUUCUCAAACUCAGAACGCGUCAUCUGGCUGCCAGGGAGGCCCCCCUGCCCACCGUCAGCCUCCCCUGGGCCUCCAUGGAUUUGUGCACCCCGCGACCCUACAACAACCCUCUGAGCCCCGGAUCCUGUCAGCAGCCUGCGGUGGCGCCCCUGCUGGACGGCUGUGUGACCGCAGCACCGGGGGCUCGUGCUCCCUCUCACCCCACUCCGAGGCUUCAGGCUCCGUUGGAGAGGAGGGAGCAAGGUCUUCCACGCAAAUCCGUCAGGCUCCACAAAGCGGGGGCCGGUCACCUUCCAGCUUAGACGGGGCAGCGCACAGCAGGGCACUUGAUGGCCACGCAAACUGAUGCCUUCCUUCUGAGCCUGCCAGGGAGUUCGGUGUUGGAUCCCCGGCCGAUGAGGCUGUGUCCUGCAGGCUGACCCACAUUCGGGCUCCCAGGCCUUUGUCUCUGGGAUCGUCUGCCUCUCAGGGGAGGGGAGGCAGGGUCUGGGAGCCCCUUGCUUUGUGGAGCUCUCUCUCCUGGGGUGAGUCAUGGCCACUGUCGUCUCCUCCAUUCAUUUGGAAGCUGCUUAUUUCAAGUGCAUCUCCUGCCAGCUCUUUAUGUCUCAAAUGCUCUCUGUGCCGUGAUUUCCUAUAGUUAUAUAAUCACUUCUCUGUUGUCAUGAAUGACUUUUUCCUGUUCUUUUUUCCUCUGAGCCUCACACGACUCUGAGGUGCUUGAGGGUAGUUCAGCCGCCGGCCCGGCCCCCGCACCGCCAGCCCCCGGAACUGGAGGCUCCCCGCCGGCCUCUGGGCCCCUCCUCCCCACUCUCCUCAGGUGGUUCCACGUCUCUUUCUCGGAGUCUGGACUCCUUGGCUGGGUCUUGUCGGGCCCCGCACACCUGCCCCGGUGUCCCUGUGGAGGGCAGCGUGGAGGCCUCAGGAGGAUUCAUUUUGUGACCGGGAUCGUGUCCCCAGAGGCUGCCGCCCAUACCCUGUGGCCUGCUUCCCUCACACAGGCUCGGAGUGGGGCCUGGGGGCUCUGCUUCCUUGUCCCCAUCCUCUCAGAGACCCUCUCUCAUGGCCCUUGGUCCCAAAGGCAGCAGCAAGGCCUACACAGGGCCUCCUUGGCCUAGAUGGCUCCCCUGCUCCCUGCCGGCUGUGGGAGAGGCCAGCAUCAGGUUUUCCCCUCAUGUGGCACUGGCUGGUGCUCAGUGGACCCUCAGGGCCAGAGGGCUCUCUGCGGCCACACCCCCGUCCCCGCUGCUCUGGGCAACCCACCCUCAUAGACAAGCCAUUGCUGCUCCCACCCGUCCCAAGGCCCUGGGCCCGGAGGAGGAGUCUAUCUAGUGUGAACUUUUGAGGCAGGGGUCUGGGCAGUGCUGUCAGGGAAGGCAGGGCACAUGAGGACACAGACGAGGGUCGGUGACCUCCCUGAGCCCCCCCCCCCCACUUAUUCAGGCCAGCCCAGCCAGAAGUGGGUACUCCUCCCAGGAGCCCCCGUGCUCCCAGCUCAGCCUCAGAGAGCCUAUCAGGGAAGGCAUCCGGGCAGGACACUCCAGCUGUCAGGCGCUAAGGCUUCGUGGGUCCCACCUGGCGGUCCUGCUGCCCCCUCUCUCUUUAACAGCUGCAGGGCCAGAAGCUGGUGCAUCUUUGUCUAAAGGCUUAAUCAUCCUCUUCAGAGCUUUGGGCCAGCCUUUGUGAGCCAAGGGCUGAGCUGUGAAGAUGGACACAGUGUCGCUAUGUCCAUCCCCCAGGUAGAAGACUUUCUGGGAAGCCGGUGGAGGCGCCGGGCAGCGGCAGAGAGGGGAAGAGAGGGGGCUAACCUGCUCUUCACGUGAACAUGAAGUAUUGGUGGCAGUGUGGGCAAGGAUGUUCAGAAACGAUGAUGUACUUGGGAAACUAUUCUUCUUCAAGGAGUUGGAUGAACUUUUUGAGAACAUUUGUUCUUGGGAAGCAGAAUGUGUAUGUGUGUGAUAAAGAUAAACAUGUGGACAAUCAGGAGAACAUUGGAGAUCUGGGAGCCCCGGAAGGAGACUGAGUCAUAGUGUCCAUCACCACCCUGGACUAUUCCAAGGGGCUGAACGGCCAAACGUCCCAGGGGAUUGUCCCACCCCCUCCUUGGGAUGAGUCUGGAAUGGAACACCCAGUGCUGAAAGGAAGGGGGGUACAUGGGAUGAUACACAUGUAGAUGGUGGGGAUUCUAGAAAGUCAGGGAGAUUUGACAAGGCAGGGGUCAGAAGUGCUCUGGCCAUGGGGGUAGAUCCAGACUUGGAAGCUGGGGAGCAGGGUUAGUAACUGAGGCUACCCAGGAGGGAACACUUCUGAGGGUGCAAUUUUCUGGGUGCUUUUCCUCCCAUGGACCAUGGAAUAGCUCUAUAUAGUGAGUGUUGUCAAAUUCCUCCCCCUUAAUUUCUCAGGAAAGUCUCAGACAGACAGCCUAUCUGCCUGGCAGGGUAUGGGCAAGAGCGAGGUUGGCACCGCUGAGAGGAAGUGAGCCCUGGUGGCUCACCUGACCUCUGUCUGGGUGGCCAAAGCUCAUGCAGUGCAGGAUGCAACUAGCAGCAGGGACAGUGAUGUUCUCAGGUGCAGGGGAUUGCAGACGAUGACAUGGACGUUGCUUACUAGGAGGUACCUAGUUCUCCAUGAAUUCCCCAGCACCAGGCAGUACUCGGCACUGCUAGCCUUAAAAAUAAAACUGUCUGUUAUUUUAGUGGCAAAAAUGGGUUUAUUCUGGAAUAACAGAGAAUUCAAGGACAAGCAAGCUCCAGCAAUACCAUAGGCAAGUCCCUAGAACAAAGGAGAGAGAUUCUUUUCUAUAGAGGAAAGAGGGAAUUGGGGGGCUGUUAUUUAUUAUUUUUUAAGAUUUUAUUUAUUUAUUCAUGAGAGACACAGAGGCACAGACAGAGGGAAAAGGUUCCUCGCAGGGAGCCUGAUGCGGGACCUGAUCCCAGGACUCUGGGAUGGGGCCCUGAGCUGAAGGUAGACGCUCAACCGCUGAGCCACCCAGGCAUCCCUGGGAGCUGUUAUAAACAAAACGUCCAUUGAAGGAAAUUGGGAGCUGGAAGUGCUUCUCACGGGCUGAGCUGUGACUGUCUUUGGUUGGCUGGGCUGUCUCCUGGCGGGGAGGAAACCUUUCUUCUUGCACUGGGUGGAUAAAAUAAUAUCCGCGUGCAAGGUCCCUCUGUUCCUGUUGGAUCUGCAGUUGAUAACCAGUGCUGGGAAUGCGAGCUCCUCCUGCUGGCCUCCUGACUCUAUUGUAGGCGAUGUUUCCUUUUAUUAGUUUUCACAGCACACAGCAGGGAUUCACUGAACGUGCCUGGACACUUCUUUAUGAGCUAUCUUCACCGAACACAGUGAAUAUCCAAAUCGUACAUGAAAACAGUUCAAAUUCACACAUCACUAGAGAAAUGCAAAUUAAAACCAUAAUAAGAUAU